GCCCGAUUGGCGGAAUCGGCAGACGCAGCGGCCUCAAAAGCCGUGGCCUCGCGGCAUGCAGGUUCGAGACCUGCAUCGGGCACCA
Molecule: transfer RNA, 85 nt
Filed under: Caenimonas koreensis DSM 17982
Lineage: Bacteria; Pseudomonadati; Pseudomonadota; Betaproteobacteria; Burkholderiales; Comamonadaceae
Description: tRNA-Leu
Rfam family: tRNA
About the family: Transfer RNA (tRNA) molecules are approximately 80 nucleotides in length.
Source: RNAcentral